RNAcentral lists this ribosomal RNA (409 nucleotides) under uncultured bacterium. RNAcentral describes it as "bacterial SSU rRNA". It matches the Rfam family "Bacterial small subunit ribosomal RNA", at positions 97 to 520 of the family's 1533-position model. The record is from RNAcentral.
GGCGAACGGGUGAGUAACACGUGGGCAACCUGCCCUCAGCUCUGGGAUAACUCCAAGAAAUUGGUGCUAAUACCGGAUGUGACUGCUGACCGCAUGGUCUGGUGGUGGAAAGAUUUAUCGGCUGAGGAUGGGCCCGCGGCUAUCAGCUUGUUGGUGGGGUGAUGGCCUACCAAGGCGACGACGGGUAGCCGGCCUGAGAGGGUGACCGGCCACACUGGGACUGAGACACGGCCCAGACUCCUACGGGAGGCAGCAGUGGGGAAUAUUGCGCAAUGGGCGGAAGCCUGACGCAGCGACGCCGCGUGAGGGAUGACGGCCUUCGGGUUGUAAACCUCUUUCAGCAGGGACGAAGCGGAAGUGACGGUACCUGCAGAAGAAGCACCGGCCAACUACGUGCCAGCAGCCGCGG